CCAUCUCAAAUUUUAUGACUUUCAGCUAUAUAUCUGAGUCUUUACUCAUAACAGCUUCUGAAUAGAUCAGUGGAUCAUCAUCCUGAAUGAUGUUGAUCGAAUUAUCUCUUUCAAUGACAAAAUCAUAUCUCAGAGGUGCUUGACGCACUCUAUCUGACCUUCAGAGAGGAGGUGUGUAUUGUGGAUGUACCUCAUCCUUGGGUACUUCUGAUU
Molecule: long non-coding RNA, 213 nt
Filed under: Elaeis guineensis (African oil palm)
Lineage: Eukaryota; Viridiplantae; Streptophyta; Magnoliopsida; Arecales; Arecaceae
Description: long non-coding RNA (EGUI_LNC053653)
Source: RNAcentral